AUUGAACGCUGGCGGCAGGCCUAACACAUGCAAGUCGAACGAGUGGCGGACGGGUGAGUAAUGUCUGGGAAACUGCCUGAUGGAGGGGGAUAACUACUGGAAACGGUAGCUAAUACCGCAUUCCAUCGGAUGUGCCCAGAUGGGAUUGGCUUGUUGGUGGGGUAACGGCUCACCCAGGCGACGAUCCCUAGCGGGUCUGAGAGGAUGACCAGGCACACGGGAACUGGGAUACGACCCAGAGGACGACGGGGGGCAGUAGUGGGGAAGAUUGCACAAUGGGGGGAAGCCUAAUGGAGCGACGCGGAGGGUGGGAGGUCGGACUUCGGGGUGGAAACUCCUUACACCAACGACGCGGUAGAUGGAGAAGAAGCACCGGCUAACUACGUGCCAGCAGCCGCGGUAAUUC
RNAcentral lists this ribosomal RNA (406 nucleotides) under uncultured bacterium. Its description in RNAcentral is "partial 16S ribosomal RNA". It matches the Rfam family "Bacterial small subunit ribosomal RNA", at positions 29 to 526 of the family's 1533-position model. The record is from RNAcentral.